Molecule: long non-coding RNA, 877 nt
Filed under: Vitis vinifera (wine grape)
Lineage: Eukaryota; Viridiplantae; Streptophyta; Magnoliopsida; Vitales; Vitaceae
Description: long non-coding RNA (VVIN_LNC000034)
Source: RNAcentral
UCACUGAUGUGGGCCUGUGUCUCAUCUUGCCUCUUCAUUCUUGUAGCCAUUGCUAAUGCACAAGCACCUGCAGCCUCACCUUCUGUCUUGCCAACUCCCACGCCAGUUGCAGCCACACAGCCACCCUCAACUCCGGUCAUACCCGCACCUGCAACCACUCCUGUAGCAUCACCCUCUCCUAAAGUUUCGCCAGCUUCGAGCCCCACUGUCCCACCCCCUCAAGUUCCACCACCACCAAAUCCACCAGUCUCAGCUCCAGUGCAACCACCAGUGCUACCAUCGCCACCUGUUGCUUCACCUCCACCUCUGCCACCUUCCAUACCACCACCACAGGUAUCCCCAGCACCAGUCCAAGCACCACCACUGCCAGCACCAGCGCCCCCACCCCCAGUGCCCCCACCCCCCGUGCCAGCACCAGCGACCCCACCACCAGCGCCAGCACCAGCGCCUCCACCACCAGCGCCAGCACCAGUACCUGUACCUCCAACCCCAGCUCCAGCACCAGUACCAGUGCCCCCAGCCCCAGUCCCAGCACCAAUUAGCGAGCCACCGGCACCUGCACCAGCCCCUACCAAGCACAAGCACAGGAGAAGGAGACACAAGCACAAGAAGCAUCAUCAUCAUGCACCAGCACCUGCACCAGUUACCCCAAGCCCCCCCGCACCACCUACAGUCCCUGAGGCUGAGGAAACGGCACCAGCUCCAUCACCAAACUUGGUAAUGUGUUCAGUCAGCUAAAAUAAUUAAUUUCUCAACUUCCAGUUUAGUUUCUGAAUGAAGCAUAUGCUUUUGAAAAGACAGAGUAAUCAAAUAUCAUCCAUCUCAUUUGAUCAUAUCAAAAUGUUUUAAAUGACUUUUUCCUCUUUUUGGCAACAGA